RNAcentral lists this ribosomal RNA (229 nucleotides) under uncultured bacterium. RNAcentral describes it as "partial 16S ribosomal RNA". It matches the Rfam family "Bacterial small subunit ribosomal RNA", at positions 794 to 1022 of the family's 1533-position model. The record is from RNAcentral.
UCCACGCCGUAAACGAUGAGAGCUAGACGUCAGGCAGCAUGCUGUUUGGUGUCGCAGUUAACGCAUUAAGCUCUCCGCCUGGGGAGUACGGUCGCAAGAUUAAAACUCAAAGGAAUUGACGGGGGCCCGCACAAGCGGUGGAGCAUGUGGUUUAAUUCGACGCAACGCGCAGAACCUUACCAAUCCUUGACAUACUUGUCGCGACACUAGAGAUAGUGUUUCAGUUAGG